Long non-coding RNA from Arvicola amphibius (Eurasian water vole), 474 nucleotides. RefSeq lists it as uncharacterized. The transcript is spliced from 2 exons. The record is from RefSeq and is a predicted model, not a curated record. NCBI's taxonomy places the organism in Eukaryota, Metazoa, Chordata, Mammalia, Rodentia, Cricetidae.
UCGGCGCGCUGCUCUGGGUUGCAGGAAAGCCAGUCUCUCCAAGCAUGGUUAGGGAGGGGGCUGGGUUUUGCUUUUUGUUUCUGGAAGCCCCUCUUCACCCUCCUUAGUCCCUGCGUGCAGCCCAGAGGAUCGUGCGGAAAGGCUACAGGGCCCCAGGGCGCACCCCGCCCCGCGCACUCGGGCCGGGGCGCCAAAAGGCGCCGCCUCGUGGGGUGGGGGGCUCCUUGCACCCAGGAGGAGGCGCGGUGAGUGCCCUGGCUGUUCCAGCACCGCUCCCUGCCCCGGACUGGGGUGGGGGAGCGCCGCAGUAUGCCUCGGGGGUCCCUGGGCCAGGAAGACCGCAGCUCCGAGAGCUGCCAGCAACUCAAGGAAGAGGUGUUCCCUGAGCCUCUGCCCCAGCUGCUUGACUUCUGGGGUGGAUCUCCCCUUGCCGCGCUCAAAACUCGUAGAAAAUAAAAAGAUGCCUUGUGAGGC